Molecule: unclassified non-coding RNA, 358 nt
Filed under: soil metagenome
Description: partial contains 5.8S ribosomal RNA, internal transcribed spacer 2, and large subunit ribosomal RNA
Rfam family: 5.8S ribosomal RNA (bases 1-120)
Source: RNAcentral
GAUGAAGAACGUAGCGAAAUGCGAUAAGUAAUGUGAAUUGCAGAAUUCAGUGAAUCAUCGAAUCUUUGAACGCACAUUGCGCCCGUCAGUAUUCUGGCGGGCAUGCCUGUUCGAGCGUCAUUACGCCCCUCAAGUCCCCUGUUGACUUGGUGUUGGGGAUCGGCGAGGCUGGUUUUCCAGCACAGCCGUCCCUUAAAUUAAUUGGCGGUCUCGCCGUGGCCCUCCUCUGCGCAGUAGUAAAACACUCGCAACAGGAGCCCGGCGCGGUCCACUGCCGUAAAACCCCCCAACUUUUUAUAGUUGACCUCGAAUCAGGUAGGACUACCCGCUGAACUUAAGCAUAUCAAUAAGCGGAGGA